This 440-nucleotide ribosomal RNA is filed under the name uncultured bacterium. RNAcentral's name for it is "partial 16S ribosomal RNA". It matches the Rfam family "Bacterial small subunit ribosomal RNA", at positions 338 to 795 of the family's 1533-position model. The record is from RNAcentral.
CCUACGGGGCGCAGCAGUGGGGGAUAUUGCACAAUGGGGGGAACCCUGAUGCAGCGAAGCCGCGUGGGUGAAGAAGCGCCUCGGCGCGUAAAGCCCUGUCAGCAGGGAAGAAAAUGACGGUACCUGAAGACGAAGCCCCGGCUAACUACGUGCCAGCAGCCGCGGUAAUACGUAGGGGGCAAGCGUUAUCCGGAUUUACUGGGUGUAAAGGGGGCGCAGACGGCGAUGCAAGCCAGGAGUGAAAGCCCGGGGACCAACCCCGGGACUGCGCUUGGAACUGCGUGGCUGGAGUGCAGGAGGGGGAUGCGGAAUGCCUGGUGUAGCGGUGAAAGGCGUAGAUAUCAGGAGGAACACCGAUGGCGAAGGCAGCCUGCUGGAUCGCAACUGACGUUGAGGCCCGAAAGCGUGGGGAGCAAACAGGAUUAGAUACCCGAGUAGUC